GUGCUGGCGGUUACACCCCGAAACUCGGAGCCCGAGUCCACAUCCCACCUGGGCAACGGCGCUUUUUGAAACCGGAGGGACUUCUGGGCCAGAAACAGGAGAAAAUCUGCAGACGCUGGAAAUCCAAAACAACACACACGAAAUCCUGGAGGAACUCAGCAGGCCCGGCAGCACCUACGGAAAAAAGAAUAAACACUCGACGUUUCGGACCGAGACCCUUCAUCAGGACACAGGGGGCGUGUCCCUUUUUAUUUUCGGUUCCGAGGGUCUCGGCCAUCGAUGCCGUCAGGCAUUCUGAGUUCCUCCAGCGCUUUGUGUGUGUGUUGCUUCUGGGCCAGUCUUGUUAGUCUAUUUGACUCCAGACAUGGCACUGUGAUUGUGCAGAGGCUGUACAACCUGAAGACACAAGAGCAUCUGGUAGUUUCAGGUCGGCCAGGAAAAGGGUCUAAACCUGAAAUACUAACUUCAUUUCUCUCCAUCGAGGGACCUCUUAAGUUCCAUCAGCAAUUGCUCAUAGGAAGAGGAAAGUCCAAGAACAUCCUUAUCCUCAAUGAUGGCUUAGCUCAGCAUGCAAGUGUUAAAGAUGCUCUGAAGUAUUUACCAUGUCUGGUCAGAAGUGCCAAUUGGUGAUCUAUCUAUCUCAGCUCCCUAUCAUAACAGAAGCCAAUUUCCAGCAAAUUUGGUUCAUUCCAUGUGACUUCAAGAAAUAACUGAGAGCACUGGUGUAGAGCAAGUCAAAUGUAUGUUGGUAAACACAAAGUACACUGCAGAUGCUGUGGUCAAAUGUGUGUCGUCGAGCACCUCCGCUCUGUCCGCCACUGCAGAAAGAUCUCCCAGUUGCCACUCACUUCAACUGUGCUUCACAUUCCCAUUCGAAUAUGUCUAUACAUGGCCUCCUCUACUGCCAUGAUGAGGCCAAACUCCGGUUGGAGGAGCAACACCUCAUAUACCAUCUGGGUAGUCUCCAGCCCCUUGGAAUGAACAUUGAAUUCUCCAACUUCCGGUAAUUCCCUCCCUCUCCCUUCCUCCAUCCCACUUUCACUUUCACUUUCACUCUGCUUCCUCUUCUAGCUGCCUAUCACCUCUCAUGAUUCUGCCUUCUUCUACUACCCAUAGUGCUUUCCCCUUACAUUUCUUCUUCACCGCUCCUGCCUAUCCCCUCCCUGCUUCCGCUCCCCCACCCCUUGAUCUUUCCUUUGAUUGGUUUUUCACCCUCCCCCCACCUUCUUUAUAGGGCCCCUGCCCCCUCCUUUAGUCCUGACGAAGGGUCUCAGCUUGAAACGUUGACUGCUCAUUUCAACGAAUGCUGCCCGACCUGCUGAGUUCAUCCAGCUUGUUUGUACGUGUUUAAAUGUAUAUUGGAAUACUCUUAUUUACCUAUGAGGUGCAGCACCAACAAGGGACUAAGAAUGAUACCAUCCAGAGCAAAGCAGCUUACUUUAUUGUUUCUUGAUCCACCACCAUAAUCCCUUCCCUUCUGCAAAAUAAAUAAAUAAAAUGUUUUAAGAUGCAGGUGAAGAAGCUAAAGGUAGAAGAGAAUAAAAGGGGAGGUAAGCAAUUGUGUGACAGGCAGAGAAAUUAAUUGUCAAAAGGAUUGACCGUACAAAGUGAAUGAAGAAGGUGAUAGAAAAUAACAAUCUUAAUCGGUGUAACUGCUGUAAUUUUAAAUUAAAUUAGUAAAGGAAAGAAGUGUGUUCAGGGAAGCAGAAAAGAAUCUUGCAAAUAUCUAAAAUUUGAGUUAUUUCAAGAGAUAUUGUGGUGAAUAUUAUUCAAAUUAAUUACUUAAAGAUACUUAAUGCAACAAAAUGAAUGGUACUUAAGAGAAUGCAAUGUGAUGAUCGGUUUAAAAAAUUAUUAGUAUUUAGAUAUUUGGGUUAAUGGAAUGCAUAUCAAAAGUGUCCUCAAGUGUUUAGAUAAUUGUUCUUAUAAAGUGGAACCAAAUGAAACAUUUCUAAGUUUGCCAGCAGUGUGAAACCAGGUGUUAUUGUAAAGUUGCGAGGAGGAUCCAACAAAGUUACGAGGUGUAUCAGACGAAGUUGAGUUAAGUGGGGAAAAAUAUUGAAGGCACAGUAUAAUGUGUAUAAAUGUGAAUACAUUCUCUGUAGUAGGAAAAGCAGAUUGGCUGAGUAUUAUUUUAAUUCUAAUAAUUGAUAUAAGGGACAAUUCAAUGUGUAACUCACGCUUCAGCUAGUGGCUUAAUACAGGGGAUGAUAGCCCCUGGCCCGGCCAAACUUAAGGAAUCUCGUUUGGGUGGAGGCUGCACGAUGUGUCCCCUGUCACAAAUCAAUACCACAAAACAACAAACAGUACACAAUACGUGAUUAAACGAUUAAGUUUUAUAAUUCUUAAUUUGACUAUAUGGUUAGUAAGAAAACAUAAAAGAAAAAAGGGCCUAUUCUCAUGAAGCAAUCUGUUGCGCAAGGUUGGAGCUCACUGAUAAGGCCGUUCGUCCACCAUCGACCUCUGCCAAUCGUCGCUGACUUUCGGACCCUCGCUCCAAGUCCACUCCGUCUGGUGGUCUACCAACUCUCUCCACUCGCGUCUUUUCUCCUUAACUCUCCCCGGCAAAAAAAACGCAAAUUCCCGGCUCCCAGACACACAAGAAAGAAUAACAUCCUGCUCAUUGGCUAGGUUGCGCUGUUAUCUCUCAUCAUAACCCAAACAUUGGUGCUACAGAGAAACCAUUACCUCAGCAGUGGAACAUUACAGAGAAACCAUUACAUUAGCAGUGAAACCUUACAGCGUGUUACAAAUGAAAGUAAAUAUACAACCAUACCAAACAGUUAAGGAAGCUAGUAAUACAUAAAGGUUCUGCGUACAGGAACAAGGAUGUUCUGCUGCAGUUAUACCAGAGCUUUAGGGAUACUAUACCAGGAGCAUUGUGGGCAGUCUUGGUCUUGUUACCCAAAAAAGAAAAUGUCUGCCAGAGAGGGAAUGCAGGAGAGUUCACCAGCAUUCAUUUCACAGUGGCAGUGUUAAAAUUAUUUGGUGUACUAUGCUUGUAAUGUGUUUGAUCAGCAUUGUGCGUUUCGGAGUAGACCAUGAUUACCUGCAGAGCUUCCCAGACCCACCAAGAAAGGCAAGGCUACCAGGCUUUUGGGAAUUGCACCACCUGUAGGUUGAAAAAUCAAACUACAGUUGCUGGCAAUCUGGAAACUGAUAAUGCUGCAAACUUUCUGCAGGAGACAAAAGUGUGAACUUACUUUCUCGUUUUCUCAUUUUUGACCCAGGCUAUUUAACCUAAAAUGUUAAUUAUUUCCACAAACGCUGCCUGUCUUGAAUUGUUCCAGCAGUUUCUAUAUUUAUACCACUUGCAGGUUCUCUUCCAAAUCUCUCGCAUUUCUGACAGUGUUCCUUUGAAAUCUUGGAACUUCCUACUUGUUAGCUUUUGGAUAUACCUUCAGAAGGAUAAAUCAUUUCAGCAAGAAUCUCACUACCAAUAUCCAUAUCCUAAAAAAUUAAUGAGCUAAAAAUAAAGGUCAGAUGGGAGCUAAUUAAAUGAUCAUUGAUCCCAAAAUGUUAACUGUCUUGCUUUCUCUACAGAUGUGGCAAAACCUGCCAAGUAGUUCUAGUACCUUCUAACUUAUAUUUUGUUAAGAAAAAGUUAGUUUCUGGUUCUGAAAUGGAAUCUCCAUUGAAAGGCUGAAAGUAAUUGAAUAUGGGUGUGGGAUUUAAAAAUGGAACAGUUGUUUCAAAUCAAAUGCAAUCUUUAAUUCAUGACCAUACAUGGACAAAACAUCCCACAUGAAUUUAGUAUUUUGGCAGAGUAAGGUAUUUUUAUUCAGUAUUUUUAAAUCAUUAAUGAUAACAGUAGAUAUUGUCCCUGCAUUUGAUCGUUCUAAUUAUGGUCUUUAGUAUUUGGACUUGCCUCUUUUCCCUUGUAAUGCAUAUUAACCACCACCUGGUCUUCCUCAUUGUCUAUUGCUUUUCCUUUUCUUGCUGGGAUACAUAGCCCUGUGACUUUACUGUUUUUUAAAUCGCAAGUGAGUACAUACAGCAAUACAAAAGUCCUCCUUACUCCAAAGUGUUGUUUACAUCUAUCCAAGACACCUGAACCACGACACCAGUGGAAUGGUAAGUUCUGUAACCUUUGCACUUCAACCCUGACAUGCUGCACAUUGGUAUCAUAAAUGCUGCGGAACAUUCUGAAAAUGUGCAUCCACCACUUCACCCCUGGAGAUGAACUGUUUCAUGGUCGCCAAUUGUCAUUAUCUGAUUGUCACUGUUUUUUUGUUAGGAAGAAGCAAGCACGGAACAGUAAGUUCAUUUAUAGUACAGCAGUGGUAGUGCUGUAACUUGUUUGACCUUGAGUAAUGUAUCAAUUAUGCAAAUAAACUUUGAAACCAGU
Molecule: long non-coding RNA, 4348 nt
Organism: Hypanus sabinus (Atlantic stingray)
Lineage: Eukaryota; Metazoa; Chordata; Chondrichthyes; Myliobatiformes; Dasyatidae
Exons: 2
Source: RefSeq, a predicted model, not a curated record